AUUGAACGCUGGCGGCAGGCCUAACACAUGCAAGUCGAGCGGUUGAGAGUAGCUUGCUACUUGAUGCAGCGGCGGACGGGUGAGUAAUGCAUGGGAAUCUGCCUGGUAGUGGGGGACAACGUUUCGAAAGGAACGCUAAUACCGCAUACGCCCUACGGGGAAAGGGGGGAGGUCUUCGGACCUCUCGCUAUCAGAUGAGCCACUGUCAGAUUAGCUAGUUGGGGGGGUAAAGGGACCCACCCAAGGCGACGAUCUGUAACUGGUCUGAGAGGAUGAUCAGUCACACUGGAACUGAGACACGGUCCAGACUCCUACGGGAGGCAGCAGUGGGGAAUAUUGGACAAUGGGCGAAAGCCUGAUCCAGCCAUGCCGCGUGUGUGAAGAAGGGCCUUCGGGUU
Molecule: ribosomal RNA, 398 nt
Filed under: uncultured bacterium
Lineage: Bacteria
Description: bacterial SSU rRNA
Rfam family: Bacterial small subunit ribosomal RNA
Source: RNAcentral